AUUGAACGCUGGCGGCAUGCUUUACACAUGCCAGUCGAACGGUAACAGGCCUUCGGGUGCUGGCGAGUGGCGAACGGGUGAGUAAUGCAUCGGAACGUACCCAGAGGUGGGGGAUAACGCAGCGAAAGCUGUGCUAAUACCGCAUGUGAUCUGAGGAUGAAAGCGGGGGACCGAGCAGCAAUGUUUGGCCUCGCGCCUUUGGAGCGGCCGAUGUCGGAUUAGCUAGUUGGUGGGGUAAAGGCCUACCAAGGCGACGAUCCGUAGCUGGUCUGAGAGGACGACCAGCCACACUGGGACUGAGACACGGCCCAGACUCCUACGGGAGGCAGCAGUGGGGAAUUUUGGACAAUGGGCGCAAGCCUGAUCCAGCAAUGCCGCGUGCGGGAAGAAGGCCUUCGGGUUGUAAACUGCUUUUGGCAGGAACGAAACGGUGUCCGCUAAUACCGGGCGCUAAUGACGGUACCUGCAGAAUAAGCACCGGCUAACUACGUG
RNAcentral lists this ribosomal RNA (492 nucleotides) under uncultured bacterium. RNAcentral's name for it is "partial 16S ribosomal RNA". It matches the Rfam family "Bacterial small subunit ribosomal RNA", at positions 29 to 507 of the family's 1533-position model. The record is from RNAcentral.